Molecule: ribosomal RNA, 1979 nt
Filed under: Escherichia coli
Lineage: Bacteria; Pseudomonadati; Pseudomonadota; Gammaproteobacteria; Enterobacterales; Enterobacteriaceae
Description: partial 23S ribosomal RNA
Rfam family: Bacterial large subunit ribosomal RNA
Source: RNAcentral
ACACACGGCGGGUGCUAACGUCCGUCGUGAAGAGGGAAACAACCCAGACCGCCAGCUAAGGUCCCAAAGUCAUGGUUAAGUGGGAAACGAUGUGGGAAGGCCCAGACAGCCAGGAUGUUGGCUUAGAAGCAGCCAUCAUUUAAAGAAAGCGUAAUAGCUCACUGGUCGAGUCGGCCUGCGCGGAAGAUGUAACGGGGCUAAACCAUGCACCGAAGCUGCGGCAGCGACGCUUAUGCGUUGUUGGGUAGGGGAGCGUUCUGUAAGCCUGUGAAGGUGUGCUGUGAGGCAUGCUGGAGGUAUCAGAAGUGCGAAUGCUGACAUAAGUAACGAUAAAGCGGGUGAAAAGCCCGCUCGCCGGAAGACCAAGGGUUCCUGUCCAACGUUAAUCGGGGCAGGGUGAGUCGACCCCUAAGGCGAGGCCGAAAGGCGUAGUCGAUGGGAAACAGGUUAAUAUUCCUGUACUUGGUGUUACUGCGAAGGGGGGACGGAGAAGGCUAUGUUGGCCGGGCGACGGUUGUCCCGGUUUAAGCGUGUAGGCUGGUUUUCCAGGCAAAUCCGGAAAAUCAAGGCUGAGGCGUGAUGACGAGGCACUACGGUGCUGAAGCAACAAAUGCCCUGCUUCCAGGAAAAGCCUCUAAGCAUCAGGUAACAUCAAAUCGUACCCCAAACCGACACAGGUGGUCAGGUAGAGAAUACCAAGGCGCUUGAGAGAACUCGGGUGAAGGAACUAGGCAAAAUGGUGCCGUAACUUCGGGAGAAGGCACGCUGAUAUGUAGGUGAAGUCCCUCGCGGAUGGAGCUGAAAUCAGUCGAAGAUACCAGCUGGCUGCAACUGUUUAUUAAAAACACAGCACUGUGCAAACACGAAAGUGGACGUAUACGGUGUGACGCCUGCCCGGUGCCGGAAGGUUAAUUGAUGGGGUCAGCGCAAGCGAAGCUCUUGAUCGAAGCCCCGGUAAACGGCGGCCGUAACUAUAACGGUCCUAAGGUAGCGAAAUUCCUUGUCGGGUAAGUUCCGACCUGCACGAAUGGCGUAAUGAUGGCCAGGCUGUCUCCACCCGAGACUCAGUGAAAUUGAACUCGCUGUGAAGAUGCAGUGUACCCGCGGCAAGACGGAAAGACCCCGUGAACCUUUACUAUAGCUUGACACUGAACAUUGAGCCUUGAUGUGUAGGAUAGGUGGGAGGCUUAGAAGUGUGGACGCCAGUCUGCAUGGAGCCGACCUUGAAAUACCACCCUUUAAUGUUUGAUGUUCUAACGUUGACCCGUAAUCCGGGUUGCGGACAGUGUCUGGUGGGUAGUUUGACUGGGGCGGUCUCCUCCUAAAGAGUAACGGAGGAGCACGAAGGUUGGCUAAUCCUGGUCGGACAUCAGGAGGUUAGUGCAAUGGCAUAAGCCAGCUUGACUGCGAGCGUGACGGCGCGAGCAGGUGCGAAAGCAGGUCAUAGUGAUCCGGUGGUUCUGAAUGGAAGGGCCAUCGCUCAACGGAUAAAAGGUACUCCGGGGAUAACAGGCUGAUACCGCCCAAGAGUUCAUAUCGACGGCGGUGUUUGGCACCUCGAUGUCGGCUCAUCACAUCCUGGGGCUGAAGUAGGUCCCAAGGGUAUGGCUGUUCGCCAUUUAAAGUGGUACGCGAGCUGGGUUUAGAACGUCGUGAGACAGUUCGGUCCCUAUCUGCCGUGGGCGCUGGAGAACUGAGGGGGGCUGCUCCUAGUACGAGAGGACCGGAGUGGACGCAUCACUGGUGUUCGGGUUGUCAUGCCAAUGGCACUGCCCGGUAGCUAAAUGCGGAAGAGAUAAGUGCUGAAAGCAUCUAAGCACGAAACUUGCCCCGAGAUGAGUUCUCCCUGACUCCUUGAGAGUCCUGAAGGAACGUUGAAGACGACGACGUUGAUAGGCCGGGUGUGUAAGCGCAGCGAUGCGUUGAGCUAACCGGUACUAAUGAACCGUGAGGCUUAACCUUACAACGCCGAAGCUGUU